AUGCUCUGCGUCGCCCUCGUCCUCACGUCCCUGAUCUGGUCAGCCGCGCCCACGGCUGGCUCAGCCCGAGAUGGCCGCCGGCAGCAGCUCACCGUGCUGCCGCCGAGGGGCUGGAACUCGUACGACUCCUUCUCGUGGAUCAUUGACGAGGCUGCGUUCCUCGACAACGCGCGGAUCAUGGCCAACAGGCUGCUCCCGCAUGGAUACCAGUACGCGGUGAUAGACUUCCUGUGGUACCGGAGGAUUGCCGCCGGUUCGGGGGUGGGCGCAUACGGCUUCGACAGCAUGGACCAGUGGGGGCGCCCGUACCCUGACCCCCGGAGGUUCCCGUCGGGCCGAGGCGGCGGAGGGUUCAGGCCGAUCGCUGAUAAGGUCCAUGCCAUGGGCUUGAAGUUUGGCAUCCACCUCAUGAAUGGGAUCAGCACCCAGGCCGUCAACGCCAACACGCCCAUCCUCGACGCCCGCACGGGAAAAGCCUAUGUAGAGAAUGGCCGACAAUGGAGGACACGUGACAUAGGCCUCACCCACAGGACAUGUGCGUGGAUGCCGAAAGGAUUUAUGAGUGUAAAUACGUACCUUGGAGCUGGACGAGCAUUCCUAAGGUCUCUCUACCGACAGUAUGCCGACUGGGGCGUCGAUUUCGUGAAGCUAGAUUGCAUCUUUGGCACGGAUUAUAGCCCGAAAGAGAUUGUGACCCUCCAUUCUAUCCUGAAAGAGCUUGAGAGACCAGUCGUCCUAUCCAUCUCCCCCGGAACCGCUGUCACUCCAGCAUUAGCUGAGAAUAUCACACAACAUGUUGACAUGUACAGGGUAACAGGAGAUGACUGGGACAGCUGGAAAGAUGUUCGCCCACAUUUCGAUGUCGCCAGAUCAUUUGCUGCUGCGAAUAAGAUUGGAGCCCCCGGAUUGCGAGGGAGGUCUUGGCCAGACUUAGACAUGCUUCCAUUUGGCUGGCUUACUGAUGCAGGUGCUAAUCAGGGCCCUCACAGAACCACUAGCCUUACAUUUGACGAACAAACAACACAGAUGGUACUUUGGUCAAUGGCUAAAUCACCACUCAUGUAUGAAGGGGACUUGAGGCAUCUUGAUGAUCGCACAUUCAAUCUAAUUACCCACCCUACUCUACUGAAGAUAAAUCACCACACUAGAAACAACAUGGAGUUUGGUUAUAUUCAUAGUGAGAGGGCUUCAAAGCCAGAUGAACAAUCCGGUCGCUCAAAGUCCGGCUAUCCGAUGGACGUGACAAACAAUGGUGGAACUGUUCUUGGUCUCGGUACAUGCAGUGAUAGGAGCGCCAGUGGAUGGUACAGUAUCUCAAAAGAUCACAUUUGCAGAAGCUAUGGAAUCCAGAACGGCAAUGCAUCAUUCUGCAUAUCCAAAGCGAAACUUCUGCCAACAUCGUAA
Molecule: ribosomal RNA, 1404 nt
Filed under: Triticum aestivum (bread wheat)
Lineage: Eukaryota; Viridiplantae; Streptophyta; Magnoliopsida; Poales; Poaceae
Description: partial small subunit ribosomal RNA
Source: RNAcentral